Molecule: long non-coding RNA, 2478 nt
Filed under: Nicotiana benthamiana
Lineage: Eukaryota; Viridiplantae; Streptophyta; Magnoliopsida; Solanales; Solanaceae
Description: long non-coding RNA (NBEN_LNC034227)
Source: RNAcentral
AGCAUCAUUCCUCAUACAUACAAUCCGGUGUAUUACCUCCCCUUGACCUCCCCUUGACCGCCCUAUGACCACCCUUGACCACCUAGCACCGUCCUAACGCCGCCGCCGGAAAUCGCCUCAUGGCGGCAGCCGGUCACCAAACCACCCCAACUUUGCACCACCGGACCACCAUGACCCCCUCUUCCUCUUUCUGUAAUUAGUUUCUUUCGAACACACACAGAUCUGCUCGAAUAUUCAAAACAAGGGUCGUCGUAACCACCGUCUCAGGCGACCCAAUCCCAAACCGUCCCAAAUUUACACCAUAGGACCCCCUAGACCUCCUCUUCCCUGUCCUGCAAUCUGUUCCUUUUAACCAACUCUACAUCGCCUCGAAUAUUGAUUUGAAGUUUAACCUUAAAACCAAAACCCCACCGUAUCCUGGUCAAACUAACCUCAGACAGUCCCCGUCUGUUCCCUUCCCCAACCAUACCACCCACAGCCCUCAAAUACCACUAACCACCAAGGAAAUCCAGAUCUGAGACCUCACUUGGUCUCAGAAUCACAAAAUUCCAUUCUUGAACCCGUGAAUCUAUUAUCCGCAAGGCCAGUUUCUCUAGAAGGUUAGAGACCUCCGCAGAAGAGGUGAGAAACCAACAGAAUGGGUUCAACAUAGAGUUGCAUGUGUAAAAAGCUAAGUAUUAUCUGUUCAUUUCGUUGUUUGUGUGUCUAUUUUAGUUUGUUUUCCACAAAUAACCUUCUUUGAUUGUUAUAUUCAAUGAUUCUUUGGGGUAUUUCUAAUUGGACUAACCAUUCCUGAACCCCCAAGCCCAUUAUUCCAAAACUAGUUGUCCUAGAAGGUUAGAAGCCUCCACAGAAGAGGUGAGAAACUAACGGAAUGGAUUCAAGUUAGAGUUGAAUGUGUAAAAGCUAUGUAUUCUGUGUUCCUUUCGUUGUUUGUAUGUCUAUUUGCUUUGUGUACUUUACAAUUUUAUUUGUUUUCCACAAAUAAUCUUCUUUCCUUGUUAUAUUAAAUGACUCUUUGGGGUAUUACUGGUUGGACUACAUCUUUUAUAAUGGUCUGAUGUUAUAUUGACUUCUCAGUUUGUUUUCACCUCUAAAGUUUUACAUGGUUUGAAGUUUCAUUUUUGAAAUUUACAUGUCUCGUUGAUCUUCAUCUCUUGAUUUUCAUUUUCACCCCCUGAGAUCCUGAGUAGUUUUGCUAAAUACUUUUUGAAUCCUACUUGUACAUGAUUCUUAGAAUAUUCAUUCUUGUUUGUCGUUCUGCUACUCACCAUUAGUUCUAUUGAUUUUUUAAGUAGCAUGAUCUUGAGUGCAUUCUUAGGGUUGGUUGAUCAUCUCUGAAAGUCUUAGAAAUAAUCAUUUUGGCCUGCUUCAUACCAUGCUUAAAAUUCUAGUUAGGACUCUUUGCUUAAUUUGCAUUUGUUGAGGCUAAGUUUGUGUGAAUUUCUGAUAUUAGUCAUGUUCUCAUCUCCUUUCUUGCUUUUAAGAAGUAUUGAGUUUUUGUAAUUGGGUCACUUCUAUAAGUCAUGCACUAGUUGAUUAGUGCCCUCUCCUGGUCGAUUUCAUCCAUUUGUUUUGACAUAAAGAUGCAUGAACAUUUAUAUGAUCCUAAAGUUAUAAUAAUUAUUGAUUGAUCAAUCCAUAUUAGGAUAUGUAGUUGUAUGGGCUAAUUGUUAAACUUAUCUAAUGAGCUUGUUAAUCCAGACCAAACUUUGGCCCAUAACUUAACCACAAUUGACCUGGGUCAAUUUUAACCAAACCAAAUGACAGAUUAAGGUUAAAACUUCAGGUUAGUUAAUUAGGAACGGAAAUAGGGGUAUAAAAGAUAUUUGAGCUUAAUAGAAUUUGGUAACAACCCCUAGAACAUUCUAGUGAGGGACUUAGGUAUAAUUUCAGCCUCAAACUGGAGGCACAAGUCCGGAAACUAAGGACCAUUCAGCAAAAAAACUGAAAUCUGAAUCAGAGACUAAAAGUAAAAACAAGGAAAAGUGUUGCCCUAAGGCUUCACUAUGAAAGAGCAAUCUGAACAUUUAGAGGAUGGGAUUUUUUUUAAAUUUUGGGAAUAUAUUUUUUAUCAGAUAUUUCUCUGAAGUUAGAGUGAAUUGAGAUAUAUAAAUACAUAUUAAUUUCCUCUAUAUUCUAAAAAAUCCUUAGUGCUGCUCUCAUUCCUGUGGAAUUUUGGUCUCUUUAAAGCCUUUCCUAAAAUCUGGGUGUUUUACUGUUCAAUUGGUUGCUGCUUGUUUGCUGAUUAACAUCAGUUACUCAUAGGUUUUGUUUCCUUGCUGAAUUCCAGGUAUAUUCUGAUGUCCAUUGAUGUAUGGAGCUUAAUUUGAAUACCUUUCCAAUUUCGAAGAUCUGUAUUUAUCAUUUCCUCUUUGAACCCUCACCCUUUUUCCUUCUCUUUUAGCUUUAGUAUAUUUCAUGAUAGAGAUAAUUACCUUGUAAUAAUUAGAUAUUUGGACUAAUUUGUCUUGUAAU